AGUGAACGCUGGCGGUAGGCCUAACACAUGCAAGUCGAACGGCAGCACAGUAAGAGCUUGCUCUUACGGGUGGCGAGUGGCGGACGGGAGAGGAAUACAUCGGAAUCUACUUUUUCGUGGGGGAUAACGUAGGGAAACUUACGCUAAUACCGCAUACGACCUACGGGUGAAAGCAGGGGAUCUUCGGACCUUGCGCGAUUGAAUGAGCCGAUGUCGGAUUAGCUAGUUGGCGGGGUAAAGGCCCACCAAGGCGACGAUCCGUAGCUGGUCUGAGAGGAUGGUCAGCCACACUGGAACUGAGACACGGUCCAGACUCCUACGGGAGGCAGCAGUGGGGAAUAGUGGACAAUGGGCGCAAGCCUGAUCCAGCCAUACCGCGUGGGUGAAGAAGGCCUUCGGGUUGUAAAGCCCUUUUGUUGGGAAAGAAAAGCAGCAGGUUAAUACCCCGCUGUUCUGACGGUACCCAAAGAAUAAGCACCGGCUAACUUCGUG
Molecule: ribosomal RNA, 492 nt
Filed under: uncultured bacterium
Lineage: Bacteria
Description: partial 16S ribosomal RNA
Rfam family: Bacterial small subunit ribosomal RNA
Source: RNAcentral